CGCAAAUAGGCCUCAUCAGGACCAAAGGAGUCCAGGUACGUCAUAUAGCGAUUAUACGCAGAUUUCAUGGCACCUUCCAGAUCUUCAGGUAAACGUCCUACAUUCUCACCAGUUAAACCAGACAGAUCGUCUAGUGCCAUUCUGAGGGAAACCAAAACUCCACCAAAUUCGACGGAAGCUACAGCCGCGCGAAAGACAUUUGCCAAAGCCUCCUGGCCGCGCUUAUCAUCCGUAGCUUUAGAUAAAGCCUUCUUCGUCUCUUGAACAACAGAUUCGGGAAUUUCAUCCCAACUUGCAGCCAAUAAAUCCUUGAAUGCAGUUUCUACGUCAGGAUCAGUUAUGGUGGGCAAAUGGCUUAUGUCUGCACUGAACAGACGCCUAAAACUAAGUGUUGAAGGAAUUCUGUAAUCUUGAACCCGAGGGGGCAACGGAGCCGCGGGGGCGAGAGGGAAGCUCUGGGCGAAGAAGGCGCCAUGGCGAGGGAUAGUGGAGAUGGACCUCGAGAGGAGGAGGAUCCGGCGACCGCUGGAGGAGGCCAGAGAUCGGAGCGCCGCCGCAGCCAUGGAUCAGCUUGAGAUCGGAGAGGUGAGAGGGUUG
RNAcentral lists this unclassified non-coding RNA (597 nucleotides) under Hevea brasiliensis (rubber tree). Lineage: Eukaryota; Viridiplantae; Streptophyta; Magnoliopsida; Malpighiales; Euphorbiaceae. The record is from RNAcentral.